AUAUAGCCCGGAUGGGAACGGCAUCCUUUUCUUUUUUUUCUUUAAAAAAAGAAAAGAUACAGUGGACAGCCGGAAAAAGC
Molecule: small RNA, 80 nt
Filed under: Flavobacterium sp. 9R
Lineage: Bacteria; Pseudomonadati; Bacteroidota; Flavobacteriia; Flavobacteriales; Flavobacteriaceae
Description: Flavo-1
Rfam family: Flavo-1 RNA
Source: RNAcentral